CGGGACGGGUGAGUAAUGUCUGGGAAACUGCCUGAUGAGGGGGGAUAACUACUGGAAACGGUAGCUAAUACCGCAUAACGUCGCAAGACCAAAGAGGGGGACCUUCGGGCCUCUUGCCAUCGGAUGUGCCCAGAUGGGAUUAGCUAGUAGGUGGGGUAACGGCUCACCUAGGCGACGAUCCCUAGCUGGUCUGAGAGGAUGGCCAGCCACACUGGAACUGAGACACGGUCCAG
This 233-nucleotide ribosomal RNA is filed under the name uncultured bacterium. RNAcentral describes it as "partial 16S ribosomal RNA". It matches the Rfam family "Bacterial small subunit ribosomal RNA", at positions 100 to 334 of the family's 1533-position model. The record is from RNAcentral.